RNAcentral lists this ribosomal RNA (456 nucleotides) under uncultured bacterium. RNAcentral describes it as "partial 16S ribosomal RNA". It matches the Rfam family "Bacterial small subunit ribosomal RNA", at positions 339 to 795 of the family's 1533-position model. The record is from RNAcentral.
CUACGGGAGGCUCCAGUAGGGAAUUUUCGGCAAUGGGGGAAACCCUGACCGAGCAACGCCGCGUGAAUGACGACGUACUUCGGUAUGUAAAGUUCUUUUAUCAAGGAAGAACGACUGGUGGGAAAGCCAGUGUGACGGUACUUGAUGAAUAAGCCCCGGCUAACUAUGUGCCAGCAGCCGCGGUAAUACAUAGGGGGCGAGCGUUAUCCGGAAUUAUUGGGCGUAAAGGGUGCGUACGCGGCCAUUUAAGUCUGAGGUAUAAGUGCAGUGCUUAACGCUGUGAUGCUUUAGAAACUGGGGGCUAGAGUGUGGUAGAGGUAAGUGGAAUUCCAUGUGUAGCGGUAAAAUGCGUAAAUAUAUGGAGGAACACCAGUGGCGAAGGCGGCUUACUGGGCCACAACUGACGCUGAGGCACGAAAGCGUGGGGAGCAAACAGGAUUAGAUACCCGAGUAGUC